This 10902-nucleotide long non-coding RNA is filed under the name Nicotiana benthamiana. Its description in RNAcentral is "long non-coding RNA (NBEN_LNC036480)". Lineage: Eukaryota; Viridiplantae; Streptophyta; Magnoliopsida; Solanales; Solanaceae. The record is from RNAcentral.
AUAUAUAGAAGAGAUUUCAGUUUAUUGUGUACAUGAAUUUAAAGUUGAAUAAUACAUAAAUCUCUAUACUUAUCUUCGAUUUAUUUACUUUACAGUUUUUAUUUUAUAACAUAAACAAAAUAUAACUUAUUAAGCAAUACAACAAAUAACAUGUGCAUCAACCAAAAGACAAAAACAGACACAAUAUAUUAUGUCAAUUUAAGUGUAUGCCAUUUACAAAAAGACAAGAAAUUUUAGACAAAUAUCCCUAUUUUGUCUUGAGAGUCUACAUUUCUUCUUCAUCACAACUUGCACAUAAUCUUGUAUAACUUUCUUCUUGACUUCCCUGUCUCUUUUUGGUACUUUCACAACUUCAUUGUAACCUUGCACAAUUUAUGGUCAUGUACAACUUACCUACAACAUCGUGUUCAGCAAAAUCCUAUAAAACAAUACAACACCAUGAGAAAAAAUAAAAUUAAGCACAUAAAAAGGACCAUAAAAUUCAACUAACUAAGGCAACACAAAUAAAAAAUAACAAUUUUUGUCUCUUUUGGAGUCAUUCCUAGAGCAGCAAAGCAUUUGUGAGGUGUGGUCCCUGGGUGCAACAAAAGUAUUAUGGUUAUUCCUUAAAGUACUCCUCUUUGGCUUAAGAGCUUAAAAGACCGCUGCUUGAGAGCUUUAAAACACCGUUGCUUGAGAAGAGAAUUGAGAUAGUAGUAUGUAUUUUGUUGAUCCUUGCUUGACAGCCCUAAAAACGCUUGAGAUAGAACUAAAAAGUAUCAAAUUUAGGGAUAUUUUAAUUUGUGGAUAUAAAUAUCGGGUCAGGUCGGGUUGUGUCAGGCAUAUGUUAAUUGAAUCAUAAUUUAUUUGAUUGAAUUUAAUAUAUAAAAAAAUGGUAGAAUAGGAAAAAAAAUACCGGAGAAUCAUAUUUGUUGGUAACUAUAACUUUUUGAGCAAAGUAGUGAAAGUUUUAUAAUUUUUGUGUGAGAAAAUAAAAUUAUAUGACUUUUAGUGAAAAAUAUUAUAAUUAUAUGACCAUUUGUGAAAUUAACCACAAAUUUCCCUUCCUCAGCUCUUCCUACUUUAGCGUAUUAUUUCUCGAAUCAAUCCACCUGAGUCAUUGAAAGUUGUAGACUGCUACGAAAUUAGGGUCAAGCAUUCCUUCUAAGUGAAAUGUUCAAAUGCAGAGCUGAUAAACAUCUAUCAAACAAUUAUAUCCAGUCCAAUGAAUGAUUACUCCUUCUUAAAGGAUAAUGAUUCCUUCGAUUAAGAUAUUGUAACUUGAUGUGAAGCCCAACUAGAAGGUAAAAGGAACCUCCCUCGAUCAUUUAUCAAACAACUGCCUUGUAAAAUCUUCAAAGGGUCAUAAGAUGUAAUUAUUUUGGAAAUGCAUAUUAUUUUAUAAUCCCAAAAAAAAAAAAUAGCUUCUGGAAAUGCAUAUUAUUUCUGCUUAAACUAAUUUUUAUUUUCAUAUUACCAAUUUGUUGGAAUGUCUGGAAUUCUACAACCACCCAGUAUAAUCCCACUUAGUGGGGUCUGGGGAGGGUAGUAUGUACGCAGACCUUACCCCUACCCUGGUUAGAGAGACUGUUUCCAAAUAGACCCCUGACAUCCUUCCCUCCAAGAAUUUCCCACCUUGCUUUUGGGGAGACUCGAACUCACAACCUCUCGGUUGGAAGUGGGGGUUGCUCACCUUCCGUCCUACAACAGUACUUCUAAAGUAUGAAUUGUUUUCCUUUACUGUUUCCCAACCCCCAUACGUUCCGUCCUACAACGGUACUCUACUGUAAACUGACAGGAGUCUUGGUUAUUCAAAGUUUGAUAUGAAUGCUCUUUGAAUAACACAUACAAAUAACAGCUCUACUCUUGGUACAAGUCCAGAAAUCCAACUACUAUAUCACUUUUUUCCUUAAGAAAUACUUCCAAGAUAACAGAGGGGGGAGAAUUUUUUGUAAGAAUUAAACUACUAAAAUCGUUGGCAUAUUUAAAUGCAGAAUUCAGACUGCUUUACCUAAAGAUUAUUAUCCAAGUCAAACCAGUAAGCAACAGGACAAUUUGCAUAACCACAACACAACAGAAGUAGAAAAGAAAAGCUAGAAUUGCUGUCAAUUCAGAUGUAGUUAUUCGGACAGCAUCCACUAUGAGAUUACUAUGCCCAGCGGAAAAGUAUUUACACUAUAACUGCAGUUGUAUGUAACCUACCUCUCCUUGUAGCUUAUGCUAUCGCUAUCCUUGAUUUCAUCUUUUGACUCUUGGCAGCUCUCUUAAUACAUUUCCCACUUCAAUGGCUCCCAUCAAAGUCCCAAGCUGCACCUCAAAGAUAAAUAGCAACACAUUCAGAUAUAUUAAAAACGGAAGAAUAAAAAACUCACCUAAGUAGAUCCUAUUGUUUGGAAAGUUCAAGUUUACCUGUUUCCAAUUUAAUCUUUCUCUUUAGAAGGAUAUUCAACUUAUACAGAUUCAAUUUACGUAUCUUCUCAUCCUUCAUUUUCGACCUCCCUUCUAUUUAAAAUAUAUAUUCAGAACUAUCUUAUAAACAGGACAUGGAAUCAAUACUGUGGUUUCAAUUAUCAUUUAUCCAUCACAAGGAUAAAACUCUCAAACUCCUACACACGAAAAUUGUAGCACAGAGCUUAUUCUCCAGAGAAGAUGACCACAUUUCAGAGAAUAAAUCGAGUUUGUAAAGGAAAGCAAGUCUAUUCUGCAAGUCUACACCAACCACAAACAUAUAUUGAGAAAGCAGCUGAUGCCAAAGCAACAAAAAAAGCUCAUCAGACCAAUAACUUUUCUGAGCUAUGGUCACUCGAGAUUUGGAAUAGCUUAUGCAGACCUCCAUAUGCACGAAUCUGUAGGUGUCAUACUAUGAUAAUUGAAGGUGAUAAAGAGAAGGAGGUAGACCUAGAAUCACAUAAAUGAAAGUUGUGUCAUAAGACUUACUAUCUCUACAUUAAUGCCAACUUAAUUACAAUGCGAAACAAAGGAUCCAUAGUGGUAAUAAUAAUUAGCAAGGAUCAAGGCAUAGUUUUUGUUGUUACACUCAAAAUAGGUUUGUGAUUGACCAGGAGUACUUUAUUGGUUACACUUUUUUGUCCAUGCAGGGAAGAGCGACAUCUAGAGAACCUCUUAGUUUUAGAAGAAUUCCUACUUUUCCUUCAAAGACAAACUACUAUGCAUUGGAAGGACAUCUGCCUGAAUAGCGGGAUAGAUAAACAUAAUUCAUAUAGCCAACCCCAACUAGUCUAGGAUCGACGUGUAGUUGAUUAGUGAUUGAAGUAAAUUGUAAAGAAUCCGUUAAGGCCUCAACCAAGAGGCAAAAAUUCUAAGAAAAAAACUACUUAUAAGAAGUCCUUUUACUAUCCGCAAGAUAUUGGGAACAUCAUGAAACCAUGAUUAGCUGAUCAGAUGAAGAAUUCCUAAAGAAAGCUUCACAUCCAGCUACCUUUUGUCCCUAACGGCUAACGCCCAGUCCAAUCCCUCACCUCCUUCCGCUUUUGGUGAUACCAUAGGUACUUGAACUAAUCCUAGUUCGCUUCCUCUUCAUGGUCGGUGUAAAGCUAUUAUUCUUUCUGUUUAUUAACUGAUCAUCAGUCUUGUUUGCCCUGGAAUUUGAUUCUCAUCAGGAUCACCUAGAUCAAUCGGUUCAAGCUUUGACAAACUCGCCUUCCUGUGUGUUUUGACAAUCUACUCAAGUCUAUCAUGUGUCAAAACAGCUAUCUUGGUGACCCUUCUUGUCAAUAAAGUCAAAAUAAAACGAGGAUUCCUCCACUUCUAGCAAAAUGCCUCAGUCACCGGUCACCAAUAAGGCUGUAGGAAUGCAAAGAUAAGUGUAUGAUGCUUGGUAUACUAAACCAACAAGAAAAACAUGACUUGUUAAAUAUUGAAUUAUUACAACUAAAGCAGACCAUUAAAUUGGAUUAUGAAGAUUGAAGGGGCAUUAUUUACAACUGCAGCACCAACUAGAUAGCUUAGUGCUAAACAGCCCCGCGGUCUUCUGACUAGAGGAUCAAGUUUGCGCAAGCCAUCCAAAGUUGGUCAUUGAAAUGAUUAAGAUUUUUCAGAAUGGAUUAAAUCCAAAUUAAUCCAUCAAGUUUUGGGCCAAAAUAAGCUAAAAGAAUGCAUGCAAAUGAUUAGUUCGCAACUCUCUAUAUGGCUAAUAUGAUUACUUCUCUCCGUUUCAUUUUAAGCGAAGGUGCUUGACAAAGCACGGAAUUUAAGAAAGAAAGAGCCUUCUGAAAAUUGUGGUCUUACCUCUUAAAUAUGCUAUGGCAUUUUUGUGGCUAUAAGAUCAUAUUUUUAGGGUAAAAUGAGAAAUUUAAAAUUAUCAGCUUUUUUUGAAGUGAAGCAGGUUUUAAAAAAUAUAUUAAAAUAAAUACCGAAACGGAAAAAAUGGCAGUAAGUAAGAAAAAAAAUACUCAAAGUAACACACUUUUUUAAGUCUUUUAUUUUUAAUGGUUUAGCAGAUACUUAAAUCAACAAUGAUAUAGUCAGAAAAAGGAAGGAGAGAAUUGAAGAAGGAAAAAUUAGAGCAUCCAGUGUAAACCAGAACAGCAGAAAAGGAUGAAUGCCAAAUAAGAACAGUAAAAACAAAGGGGCUAAUAAAGUAAUAAGAAGAGUGUAAAUUCCAUGGGCAAAGACAGGGAAUUUCCACGGAAGAAGAGAGGACGAAAUGCAGAAGCAGUGAAUAACAGAAAACAGGACAUACCAAAGAAAGAAAAAGAAAGCGGAAGAAGAAGCUGCUGAUGCAGUAGCUUGAAUGCAGGAUCCUAAGAAAGAAUAGAAAGGCAACAAAGGAUUAAUGAAGAAUAGGGAAACAGGAAGAUUCUUACACAUGGAGAAGGAAAAGAAAAUAAGAGGGAAAGAAGAAGCCGCUUGGAUCCAUGAUGAUAGGCUAUAUUUACGUAUUUUAGUUGCUUAUUACACUCUAAUUUACUGCACUUUAAUUGAGUUUGGGCUUUAAUUGCUAUUGUUUUGUACUAAUGGUAUGUUUUAUGCCUUGUAGCAGUGAUUCCGAGCGAUGUAGAUGUUAUGAAAUGAAUUCAAGUGAUUUAAAGCUUUAAAGUUUGAAUAAAAGUUUAAGGAAUUAAGCCAGGAUCAUGUUUAGGGGUCAACGGAUGAUAGUUAGAGCAAAUGAAGAAUCCAGUAGGCAUAUUGUGCACUGUCUAGUAAAAUAGAUAUAACGUUUUGCUCAAAACUCCAUUUGGGCUCUACAAUAUAUGGUUGGAAAGAUAACUCAAAGGGCUACAACUUUCAUGUUUUACGUUUCUCUAAAUUCGCGACGGAACAGGGUAAAAAUGUGCAUCAAUAGCGCGAUCGCGCUCGUCAGGCAGAACACUGGAUCACUAGCGCGAUCCCGCUAGUCAAACCCGGAAAAAUUAUCCUUUUUCACAUUGGAGAAGGUAUAAUUGUUUGGGCUCAACCCUACUUGGUAUAUAUACAUGGAAAAACAGUAUUUUGAUAGAGGAGGGCAUUUUUGAAAGGAAAAUACAAGCACAGAGCCGCCUUGGAGGCGGGGUUUCAUCUUUUCUUCCUCCAAACUUAGUAAUUUUUAUGUUUCCUUGUAUGAUUUGUUUUUUUGCUUCCAUGUCUAUGUGGAGCUAAACUUUACGAUUUAGGGUUGUAGUUCUUUCAUGACUAUUGUUAUUUGGACAUUGAUUUUGAUUCCUUAGUUUAUCAUAUUGGUUUAAUUAUUCAAUCCUGCACUUAAUUAUUUGAUUGCUUGAUCACCAAUUGAAUACAAUCUACGAAUCUAGAGUUGAAUUCGAAAGUGUGAAUUCUAGAUUGCAUAUAGGAGUGAGUAGAGCAAGUUCGUGAACCUGGGCAUCGGGGAACAGAUUCACGGUUAGGAUAGACAUAUACAUAAUUGUCUUGCUUGGUUGAUUUACAAGAAUUAUAAAUGCAUUCUUGUUGAUUCUAAUUCCAUAGACAUAUAGGCGUUAGGUUAGCUUGAAUAAGCGAGUAAGAACUCGACAGAUUCUUAUGAGUAAUAUCAACCCUGAUAACCAAUAAACUAGAUAAAUUAGUUAGUCAAUUCAAUUGAAGAAUACAAUAGAAAUGUUAGAACGAAACAAACUCGAAACAAGGACUAAACUAAUAUACAGAAUGACAUAAAGCUGUCAAAUUAACAUCAAUCCCUCUUCUUGGGCCCAAAGACUGAUGCCCAAAAUAGCAAAUAUUGUGAAUUAUUCUUAAACACGCUUGGACAGUGAACUACGGGGAGUAGGACCCAGGUAUCAUGCUUUAAUUCAAAGAUACAAUAGAAAUGUUAGAUAGCCCAUAACCCUAGAUCGUUGUCAUUAGUCAUUACAUUGAUAUCAUAAAAAUCUGCUCUUCCUCUGUUCAAAGUUCUUAAUUAGUUUAGAAUCAAAUACUUCUAGGUUUAAUUCUUGUAUAGAUAAUUAGAAUUGUCUAAUUUAGUUAAUAGUUAAUCACAAAUCCUCGUGGAAUCGACAUCCAAUUUUUAGUCACUUUAUUACUUAACGACCGCGUAUACUUGCUUGUGCGUUUGGCCGCAACAAUCCAUUGAAUCACUAGUGGUCUGCCAGGAAAGAAGAACAUGAAUAAGGGGCAGAUGGGCAAGGAAGAGCGCGAGAGAGAGAGAGAGGGGCAGCAAGCAUUGAUACCGAAAAUGAGGAGGAGCAGCAAAGCGACAAUGAGAAAGGGGAACUGACAGGAGAAGUAAAGGAAAGGGGAAAAGGGAGGAAUGAGAGGCUGGGAACGGAGGCCAAUAAUAGGUUACUGCUGACAUGUCAGCACGGGAAAGAAUAGAAAGAAAAGAAAGAGUUAAAUUGAGUGAUAGCUUUGGUUUACUAUGUCCUUCUUUAUUCAUUUCUAUUGACAAAAAAAAAAAGAGAGAGUGAUCCACUAUUAAGUCAAGAUUGAAGCAGCUAUUAAGUCAUAGCAUAUAACAUAACAGAUAUAGAACAACACAACGCAGACAUGCAUACAUAUAUACCAUUAAUAAAAGCGUAUAAGAAAGAAAAUGAAUCGAUAGAAUAAACAUAAGGAAACUAGCCUGGUACUUAGAAGGCAUACAAAUGAGAUAUUGUUAUUCUGAAUGAAGAAGAGAACAUAAAUGAUUAAUUAAAUGUUGCUUCAUUUCCAAACAUGAGGGAAAAAACAAUCCUAUGUAUUACUGCAUUGAUAAAAAAUCAAGAGCAGCAUCGAGAGCUUUAAAUCAGUGCUCGAGCUGGCGCGCGUUCCAGCUUCUUCUCCUCUAUUUUCUUUUGCUGACCUGAAUGCUCUUAUAGUAUUUUCCAGUUUCAUAUCUUUGAAGGUUCAAUACAUCAAUCAAGCCUUCUGGUAUUGCUUGAAGCUUCCAAAAGAUAUAAGAACAAGCUGCUUUAGCCCAAAAAGUUGCGAUUCGAAGCUCUUGAGUUUUUUCAAGUUUGUCCUUAAAUCCACAUAACUAUGACGACCAUCAAUGAAUCCCAUUAAUACACUCUCUUUCAACUCUAAGACUUCAAAGAAAUCGUUUCGUCUGGAUCACAACCAAGGCCAUAAAUUCAUGUUAACCACUCAGCAAUAAAAGAUAUGUCAACUUAUUGCAAUGCAAAUAUUAAUAAGCUAAAGUUUCUAGAAGAUGAUUAAAGUUGGAUUUUGCUUUUAAAAAAGGUUUUCAAGUUUGAAAGUUGCUCAAAUACUGAAUUAGAAGAACAAGGAAAAAAAUGAUGGACUCCUGAGCUAGUAACUCCACUAUAGUUUUUAGAAUAAGUAGUAGAUUUUUCCUUGUUCUUGUAACUCAUUACUUGAGUGCAAUUUUUAGACCCGAAAACUUUAUUUUAGCAAAAUUCAGCUUCUGAAAACUCUCUUACGAAGAUUUGCAUUGAAAUAAGUUGUGACAUUUGCUUGCCGAAUGGUUACCGUGAUCAUGUGGUCUUGGUUAUUCAUACUUCUAAGAACCCUGAGGAAGCUGACCUUCAUACUCCAGAAAACCCUGAGGAAGCUGAUCUUCUCUGGAACCGGUUAGACGGGAGCGAACUAACUAUUGUAAGAGAAAUCAAUGUCCUUAAAGUCCUAAAGUUGAAAGAAAAUGCAUUCAUAUAAGCCAGAGAUUGGUGGCCUCUUUAGUCUCCUAGUCUUGUGGAUUGAAGGACAAACUUGAAAACCUAGAGGGCUUAAAAUCGCAACUUUCUUAGGCUAAAGCAACUUGUUUCAUAUCUUAUUGCAAACUUGAAGCCCCGGAAACUUAGCUAUUAUAUCAAAUAUUCAAGAUAUAAACUGAAAAAUACUACAAAAGCAUUCAAAUCAGUAUGGCACUUGUUCUUGCCGAGUGCUUACCAUGAUCCUAUAGUCUUGGUCGUUCAUACUUCCUUAUUAGGAGUAUUGGUAAAUGAUGUUAGGCUUCGAAGAGUGAUAAGCUCCUUGAGAACAAGAACUGGCUAAAUACAAUUGUAAACCAGUAAAUAGAAAACAGAGUAAGCCACAACAUCAUCAUUUGAUCAAUCACUCAUUUUGUCUUUGAACCAAAAAUAAAAAUUAAACUUCAUAUAAAACCGAGGUUAUCAAUUUUUGUUGUCUAAACACAUGGAGUUCAGAUUAAACUACGAAUAAUCUACUCAUGACUAUAUCACUUUCAUGUUCAAUUACUGUGAAUAAAAUAGGAAAACAGGACUGACAGAGAUAAUAAAGAUUCAAUUCACCAUCACCUAAAUUACCGAACAUGUAUAAAAAUUAAGUUCAGAAUUGACACACAUAAUCAGUUGUACAUAUUGCCAGAGUACCAACUAUUUUGAAAAUCGUAGAUUAUGCUAAACAUACUUGGACAUCAAACAAAUGAACCCAACAAUUUAGUAAAGCCUUUAAAGCAUCCAGUUCAUAUUUAAAUUAAAAGAAAAGGACAAGUAGAAACCCUCAAACUGCCUAUCAGAUGAAUGUCUCAACUAUUCAAAACACGAACCCAGAGGCAAAGUCUCCGCUAAUGCAACUAAACUACAAUUUCUUCAAUUCAUCUCUACAAUCUCAUUAAACCUCACAAACUAUUUAUUAUUUAAGGAGUCAGCUUAUCUUAUGUGAGCUCAUCCACCUCCUUUAACUUUAUUCUUUGGGCCAAGAUCAAUUCAAAUCAAAGCUCAACUCUCUUCUGUCUCAAAACUUGGCCCAACAAAUCUCUUAAUGUUCUCCACUACAUGGCUCAUUUCAAAUUCUCCAACUCAAGUUUAUCAAACUCCCAAAUUCUUUGAGGCUUCAUGCAUCAAUCAAUCAACUGUCUUAAUAUUGAAUCAAAUAAACAGGAAAUGCUCAGCACCACAAUUGAAGACAUAACAUUUCCAAGUGAACAUGAGGAUAAACAGUAAGCAUUUGAUAUGUAUGAACAAAUCAUGAUACCAGCUCCUUUUGGAAUACGAAGACAACUUGGAACCAAGAAUUUCACCAAGAAAUGGGCUUUUGUCCCCAGUCAAAUUUCUAAAAUUUCUUGCUGUCACCCGUGACACUCCAAAAAAAAAAUUUAAGAAGAUUCAGGACUGGUAUAAUUCAAGACCACUUGCAUAAUGAAAUUGAAAUGUGACCUGACAACAACGACAUACCCAGUGUGAUAUAUGUGAUAUAUGGGGAGGGUGGGGUGUAUGCAGACCUUACCCCUACCAUGUGAGGUAGAAAAAUAUGACAUAAUUGACUUUGAAUUUACCUUAUGACACCUGUUAUUAAUGAAACUUAUGAUAAUCAAUUGUCUCUAAAAACAAAGAGCAAAUGACUAAACGACAAUCCAGGUUCUCAUUUUAUUUCCACAAGCCUAUACCUAAAAAAAUACCUCUUCGGCCCAAAAAAUUACAAUUCUUAAUUAAAAGCCCAAAAUUUAUUUAUUCUCUAAUUCAUCUGGAAAUGACACCACGUAGCUACUUUACAAGGCUGCUAUUUAAGAAUUAGCCAGUACAUCCUGAAUUUCAAUUUUUCAGUUCAAUUUUCGGGACAAAAAUGUCAUCAAUUGUCUUGAAGUUAAAAUUUUUAAUUUAAAAUUUCAGGACAAAAAUAAGUAUUGGCUAAUCACUAAAUAGUAUCCAUGAGAAUGACUAUGUGUGCAUUUGCCCCAAUUCACAGGCUCUCAAAUCGAAACUGCAUGUCAUUAAACCCAUAAGCAAAAAAAAGUUUGAACCUUGAUUUUAAUCUUCAUGCAAAGCGGUAAUCCUCAAUGUAGUGAUACAAGCAUAGACUACAAUGAUAAUAAUUUCUAGAGUUAGAAAUGGACAGAUAUGCUAAAGAAGUCGUGUAAUAAGCAGCAACCUACAACACAUGGAUACCCUGAAACGGACUGAAGAUUUUACUAAUUCAAUACCAGAUUAGAUUGAACCAAAACACAACGAGAAUGAAACUGACAAUUUUAAAAGCUAUGUUUCAACUCUAUUAAUUUAAUACCAGACUCAGAUCCAUGUCCUAUUCAUGAGAGAACACACGAAACAAACUCGAAACAAGGACUAAACUAAUAUACAGAAUGACAUAAAGCUGUCAAAUUAACAUCAAUCCCUCUUCUUGGGCCCAAAGACUGAUGCCCAAAAUAGCAAAUAUUGUGAAUUAUUCUUAAACACGCUUGGACAGUGAACUACGGGGAGUAGGACCCAGGUAUCAUGCUUUAAUUCAAAGAAAACACCACAUAAAGUGAUAAACAGAGAGGAGGGAGGAAUGGAAUUUACCAAAAAAAAUCGAUUAAUAGAAAAGAAUCCUAGCAAUGCCGCAAACUCCGAUGCCGGAAAUUUCAAGUUGCGAUAGGCACAUGGAAAAGAAAUCACGAUCAGAGCCUCCGGUUUCUAAUCGGAAUCCAUCUCAGAAUCAACCUUUUUUGUGUAUUUCGUUUCUCAAUGUACAAGAGUAUUUAUACAAGAGAAGGCGUACCCGCCUACUUUUGGGUUAAUUCUUCGUCCGGAUUUUUACACAAAUAGCCUACUAUUAGUAUUACUUUUUCUAGCCAUAUAACUAUAUUAUGCAUUAAAU